AGAGUGAACGCUGGCGGUAGGCCUAACACAUGCAAGUCGAACGGCAGCACAGGAGAGCUUGCUCUCUGGGUGGCGAGUGGCGGACGGGUGAGGAAUACAUCGGAAUCUACCUUUUCGUGGGGGAUAACGUAGGGAAACUUACGCUAAUACCGCAUAAGACCUUCGGGUAGAAAGCCGGGGACCUUCGGGCCUGGCGCGGAUAGAUGAGCCGAUGUCGGAUUAGCUUGGUUGGGACGGGGUAAAACGCCCAACCCGAAGGCCGACGAUCCGUAGCUAGGUCUGGAGAGGAUGAUCAGCCCACACGUAGGAACUGACGACACGGUCCAGACUCCGACGGGAGCAGCGAGGU
This 349-nucleotide ribosomal RNA is filed under the name uncultured soil bacterium. RNAcentral describes it as "bacterial SSU rRNA". It matches the Rfam family "Bacterial small subunit ribosomal RNA", at positions 26 to 357 of the family's 1533-position model. The record is from RNAcentral.